AACGAACGCUGGCGGCAGGCCUAACACAUGCAAGUCGAACGCUCCGCAAGGGAGUGGCGCACGGGUGAGUAACACGUGGGAACCUACCUUCUGGUACGGAACAACCAAGGGAAACUUUGGCUAAGACCGUAUACGACCUCCGGGUGAAAGAUUGAUCGCCGGAAGAGGGGCCCGCGUCCGAUUAGGUAGUUGGUGAGGUAACGGCUCACCAAGCCUUCGAUCGGUAGCUGGUCUGAGAGGAUGACCAGCCACACUGGGACUGAGACACGGCCCAGACUCCUACGGGAGGCAGCAGUGGGGAAGUAUUGGACAAUGGGCGCAAGCCUGAUCCAGCCAUGCCGCGUGAGUGAUGAA
RNAcentral lists this ribosomal RNA (354 nucleotides) under uncultured bacterium. Its description in RNAcentral is "bacterial SSU rRNA". It matches the Rfam family "Bacterial small subunit ribosomal RNA", at positions 29 to 412 of the family's 1533-position model. The record is from RNAcentral.